GACGAACGCUGGCGGCGUGCUUAAUACAUGCAAGUCGAACGAUCCCGAGCUUCGGCUCAAUGGGAGAGUGGCGAACGGGUGAGUAACACGUGAGAAACCUGCCCCCGGAGACCGGGACAACCAUUGGAAACGAUGGCUAAUACCGGAUGCCCUCAGCUGGCCGCAUGGCCUACUGAGGAAAUGCUCUGGCGCUCUGGGAGGGUCUCGCGGCCUAUCAGCUAGUUGGUGGGGUAACGGCCUACCAAGGCAUCGACGGGUAGCUGGUCUGAGAGGACGAUCAACCACACUGGGACUGAGACACGGCCCAGACUUCUACGGAAGGCAGCAGUGGGGAAUAUUGCGCAAUGGGCGAAAGCCUGACGCAGCAACGCCGCGUGAGGGAUGACAGCUUUCGGGUUGUAAACCUCUUUCAGUGAUGACGAAAAUGACGGUAAUCACAGAAGAAGGUCCGGCCAACUACGUG
Molecule: ribosomal RNA, 463 nt
Filed under: uncultured bacterium
Lineage: Bacteria
Description: bacterial SSU rRNA
Rfam family: Bacterial small subunit ribosomal RNA
Source: RNAcentral